This 348-nucleotide unclassified non-coding RNA is filed under the name Hevea brasiliensis (rubber tree). The record is from RNAcentral. Lineage: Eukaryota; Viridiplantae; Streptophyta; Magnoliopsida; Malpighiales; Euphorbiaceae.
GCAUAUUCCAUCACUAUUGCUAGAUGAGCUGGUGUGAGAAAUACCUCCUUAAAUCUAAUGAUAUUCGGAUGCCUCAAAGAUCUGUGAUUCAUUAUCUCCCUUUGAACAUGCUCAUCAAUCUUUUUGCCUCUUUCAAUAUAUUUGACAGCAAAAAGUUCACCACUCCAUUUAUCUUUCACAAGCUUAGCAACACCAAAAUUCCCAGAACCAAUGUCUUUCUGAAUUUCAUAUCUUUCCAUUUUCUAUAAAUAUUUCACCUUCAAUUAAUACCUCAAAUAAUAAUCAAACAUAAAAAUAUUUUUAUUUUAUUUUUAGAAAUAAAAAUUUUGAAGAAGCUGUCUAAAUCUA